This 405-nucleotide ribosomal RNA is filed under the name uncultured bacterium. RNAcentral's name for it is "bacterial SSU rRNA". It matches the Rfam family "Bacterial small subunit ribosomal RNA", at positions 28 to 436 of the family's 1533-position model. The record is from RNAcentral.
GACGAACGCUGGCGGCGUGCUUAACACAUGCAAGUCGAGCGGUAAGGCCCUUUCGGGGGUACACGAGCGGCGAACGGGUGAGUAACACGUGGGUGACCUGCCCUCAGCUCUGGGAUAAGCCUGGGAAACCGGGUCUAAUACCGGAUAUGACUCCAUGACGCAUGUUGUGGGGUGGAAAGCCUUGUGCGGCUGAGGAUGGGCCCGCGGCCUAUCAGCUUGUUGGUGGGGUGAUGGCCUACCAAGGCGACGACGGGUAGCCGGCCUGAGAGGGCGACCGGCCACACUGGGACUGAGACACGGCCCAGACUCCUACGGGAGGCAGCAGUGGGGAAUCUUGCGCAAUGGGCGAAAGCCUGACGCAGCGACGCCGCGUGAGGGAUGACGGCCUCGGUUGUAACCGUACUU